RNAcentral lists this ribosomal RNA (1372 nucleotides) under uncultured bacterium. Its description in RNAcentral is "bacterial SSU rRNA". It matches the Rfam family "Bacterial small subunit ribosomal RNA", at positions 28 to 1381 of the family's 1533-position model. The record is from RNAcentral.
GAUGAACGCUGGCGGCGUGCCUAAUACAUGCAAGCCGAGCGAACGGACGAGAAGCUUGCUUCUCUGAUGUUAGCGGCGGACGGGUGAGUAACACGUGGAUAACCUACCUAUAAGACUGGGAUAACUUCGGGAAACCGGAGCUAAUACCGGAUAAUAUUUUGAACCGCAUGGUUCAAAAGUGAAAGACGGUCUUGCUGUCACUUAUAGAUGGAUCCGCGCUGCAUUAGCUAGUUGGUAAGGUAACGGCUUACCAAGGCAACGAUGCAUAGCCGACCUGAGAGGGUGAUCGGCCACACUGGAACUGAGACACGGUCCAGACUCCUACGGGAGGCAGCAGUAGGGAAUCUUCCGCAAUGGGCGAAAGCCUGACGGAGCAACGCCGCGUGAGUGAUGAAGGUCUUCGGAUCGUAAAACUCUGUUAUUAGGGAAGAACAUAUGUGUAAGUAACUGUGCACAUCUUGACGGUACCUAAUCAGAAAGCCACGGCUAACUACGUGCCAGCAGCCGCGGUAAUACGUAGGUGGCAAGCGUUAUCCGGAAUUAUUGGGCGUAAAGCGCGCGUAGGCGGUUUUUUAAGUCUGAUGUGAAAGCCCACGGCUCAACCGUGGAGGGUCAUUGGAAACUGGAAAACUUGAGUGCAGAAGAGGAAAGUGGAAUUCCAUGUGUAGCGGUGAAAUGCGCAGAGAUAUGGAGGAACACCAGUGGCGAAGGCGACUUUCUGGUCUGUAACUGACGCUGAUGUGCGAAAGCGUGGGGAUCAAACAGGAUUAGAUACCCUGGUAGUCCACGCCGUAAACGAUGAGUGCUAAGUGUUAGGGGGUUUCCGCCCCUUAGUGCUGCAGCUAACGCAUUAAGCACUCCGCCUGGGGAGUACGACCGCAAGGUUGAAACUCAAAGGAAUUGACGGGGACCCGCACAAGCGGUGGAGCAUGUGGUUUAAUUCGAAGCAACGCGAAGAACCUUACCAAAUCUUGACAUCCUUUGACAACUCUAGAGAUAGAGCCUUCCCCUUCGGGGGACAAAGUGACAGGUGGUGCAUGGUUGUCGUCAGCUCGUGUCGUGAGAUGUUGGGUUAAGUCCCGCAACGAGCGCAACCCUUAAGCUUAGUUGCCAUCAUUAAGUUGGGCACUCUAAGUUGACUGCCGGUGACAAACCGGAGGAUGGUGGGGAUGACGUCAAAUCAUCAUGCCCCUUAUGAUUUGGGCUACACACGUGCUACAAUGGACAAUACAAAGGGCAGCGAAACCGCGAGGUCAAGCAAAUCCCAUAAAGUUGUUCUCAGUUCGGAUUGUAGUCUGCAACUCGACUACAUGAAGCUGGAAUCGCUAGUAAUCGUAGAUCAGCAUGCUACGGUGAAUACGUUCCCGGGUCU